RNAcentral lists this ribosomal RNA (303 nucleotides) under Triticum aestivum (bread wheat). RNAcentral's name for it is "partial small subunit ribosomal RNA". Lineage: Eukaryota; Viridiplantae; Streptophyta; Magnoliopsida; Poales; Poaceae. The record is from RNAcentral.
AUGCCUCCGCCUGCUGCAGCCGUCGCUGGUCUCGCGCCUCCCUCAGCCGCCGUCGCCUAUGCCUGUCCCGCGCCUCCCUCCGCCGCUCGCGCCGCCGCUUCCCCGUCGAGCUUCACGUCCUCGGGAGGAGAGGAAGCUAGCACUGCUCUUCCCGAGGGACGCGCCGUCGUGCCAUCGACAGGAGACGGCCAGGCAGAGCGCGCCGUCGCCACCGGCUGGCGCGUCGAUGGGAGGAGGCCAGGGUUAGGGUGCUCUCCUCCUCGCGCCUGUGGAUCUCCUGGCGCUGCGGGCUGCCGGAGCUGA